This is a long non-coding RNA of Homo sapiens (human), 2360 nucleotides long. Ensembl annotates it as zinc finger protein 37B, pseudogene. Its record names the gene ZNF37BP. The record is from Ensembl. NCBI's taxonomy places the organism in Eukaryota, Metazoa, Chordata, Mammalia, Primates, Hominidae.
GGGCUUUCUGCGCAUGUGCGCGGUGUGGCUCCAGGUGAAGGAUGCCCGGAGGCCUCGGCAGGACCGUGCGGAAACGGGCCUUCUGCCCAAAAGAUGCUGCUUCUCUCCUUAUUCUUUCCCCUCAGAAUCUCGCUGUCUCCUUCCAACCACCUGUGGUCGGCAUCCCCGCGUUGUCACUGCGACGCAGAGGUCGCAGCUUCAUGGCCUGAUGCCUUCAGGAAGUAUUUUGAAGUCAUCGUGGCUGUGGAUUGGGGGAUUUCUUGUUUCCACUGACCUGUGAGGCCGCGCACGUGGAGGGAGGCACCCCGGGUCCUCCGGCACUGUCCGGCCUCGCCUGUGUCCCUAGUAGCAGUGGGCAUUUCCAGACGGUGCAGCUUGUGGCUAAAGUGACAGGAAGAUGUAGGAGCUUUCAGUCUUGGAUGAGGAUUCGAACUGAAGGGCUUAGGCCCAGCUGUCUUGGAGCAAAACAUCUGUUGUGGGAUGUGGCGGCAGAGGAGGGCAAGGCCGAAGGAGCAGACAGCACCGCUUCUUGGGGAGUUGUGAAGGCAUCAUGCGGAGGGCCGAGCUUAGCAGCCAAGUGGAGGACAGCACCCUCCAUGCCUGGAUUCGUUACUCGCUCGUUCUCGAUGUUGAGCUGCUGGCAUAUUGCAGCACAACUAGAGAUGUACGGAUGCCCCCAUCUUGAUCUUACAGAAUCAGAGGUGCAGCCGCAAGAAAGGUCUCUACACCCUCUCGGUUUUCUCUGCUCUGCCAACACUAGUGGAAUAUGAUCACAUCCCAGGGAUCAGUGUCAUUUAGGGAUGUGACUAUGGGCUUCACUCAAGAGGAGUGGCAUCAUCUGGACCCUGCUCAGAGGACCCUGUAGAGGAAUGUGAUGCUGGAGAACUACAGCCACCUUGUCUCAGUAGGGUAUUGCAUUCCUAAACCAGAAGUGAUCCUCAAAUUGGAGACAGGCAAGGAGCCAUGGAUAUUAGAGGAAAAAUUUCGAAGCCAGAGUCAUCUGGGUGAGUUAGUGCCAGAUGGAAUUUAAAGAAUUAAUUAAUACCAGUAGAAACUAUUCAAGAAUGAAGUUCAAUGAGUUUAACAAAGGUGGAAAAUGUUUCUGUGAUGAAAGCAUGAAAUAAUUCAUUUUGAAGAGGAACCUUCUGAAUAUAAUAACAAUGGGAACAGCUUCUGGCUGAAUGAAGACCUCAUUUGGCAUCAGAAGAUUAAAAAUUGGGAGCAACCUUUUGAAUACAAUGAAUGUGGGAAAGCUUUCCCUGAGAAUUCACUCUUCCUUGUACAUAAGAGAGCUUACACAGGACAGAAAACAUGCAAAUAUACUGAACAUGGGAAAACCUGUUAUAUGUCAUUUUUUAUUACUCAUCAGCAAACACAUCCAAGAGAGAACCACUAUGAAUGUAAUGAAUGUGGAGAAAGUAUCUUUGAGGAAUCCAUUCUCUUUGAACAUCAGAAUGUUUACCCAUUCAGCCAGAAUUUAAAUCCCACUCUAAUUCAGAGAACCCACUCAAUUAGCAAUAUUAUUGAAUAUAAUGAAUGUGGAACCUUUUUCAGUGAAAAAUUAGCCCUUCAUUUACAACAGAGAACACAUCCAGGGGAAAAACCUUAUGAAUGUCAUGAAUGUGGAAAAACCUUCACCCAGAAGUCAGCCCACACAAGACAUCAGAGAACACACACAGGGAAAACCCUAUGAAUGUCACGGAUGUGGGAAGACCUUCUAUAAGAAUUCAGACCUCAUUAGAAAUCAAAGAAUUCACACAGGGGAGAGACCUUACAGAUGUCAUGAAUGGAGAAAUCCUUCAGUGAAAAGUCAUCCCUUACUCAAAAUCAGAGAACACACGUGGGGAGAAAUCAUGAAUGUCAUGAAUGUGGGAAAACCUCGUUUAAGUCAGUUCUAACUGUGCAUCAGAAAACACACAGGGGAGAAGCCCUAUGAAUGCUAUGCAUGUGGCAACACCUUUCUCAGAAAAUCCGACCUCAUUAAACAUCAGAGAAUUCACACAGGAGAAAAACCUUAUGAAUGUAAUGAAUGUGGGAAGUCAUUCUCCGAGAAGUCAACCCUUACUAAACAUCUAAGAACACACAGAUGGGAAAUCUUAUGCAUGUAUUCAAUGUGGAAAAUUUUUCUGCUGCUACUACAGUUUCACAGAACAUCUGAGAAGACACACAGGGGAGAAACCUUUUGGAUGUAAUGAAUGUGGGAAAACCUUCCAUCAGAAGUUGGCCCUAAUUGUUCACCAGAGAACUCAUAUAAGACAGAAACCCUAUGGAUGUAAUGAAUGUGGAAAAUCAUUCUGUGUGAAGUCAAAACUCAUUGCACAUCAUAGAACAUACACAGGGGAGAAACCCUAUGAAUGUAA